AUUAAACGCUGGCGGCAUGCCUUACACAUGCAAGUCGAACGGCAGCACGGGGGCAACCCUGGUGGCGAGUGGCGAACGGGUGAGUAACGCAUCGGAACGUGCCCUGGAGUGGGGGAUAACGUAGCGAAAGUUACGCUAAUACCGCAUAUUCUGUGAGCAGGAAAGAGGGGGAUCGCAAGACCUCUUGCUUUAGGAGCGGCCGAUGUCGGAUUAGCUAGUUGGUGAGGUAAAGGCUCACCAAGGCGACGAUCCGUAGCGGGUCUGAGAGGAUGAUCCGCCACACUGGGACUGAGACACGGCCCAGACUCCUACGGGAGGCAGCAGUGGGGAAUUUUGGACAAUGGGCGCAAGCCUGAUCCAGCCAUGCCGCGUGAGUGAAGAAGGCC
RNAcentral lists this ribosomal RNA (386 nucleotides) under uncultured bacterium. RNAcentral describes it as "bacterial SSU rRNA". It matches the Rfam family "Bacterial small subunit ribosomal RNA", at positions 29 to 416 of the family's 1533-position model. The record is from RNAcentral.